This 2203-nucleotide unclassified non-coding RNA is filed under the name Gigantopelta aegis. RNAcentral describes it as "succinyl-CoA:3-ketoacid coenzyme A transferase 1, mitochondrial-like, transcript variant X1". The record is from RNAcentral. Lineage: Eukaryota; Metazoa; Mollusca; Gastropoda; Neomphalida; Peltospiridae.
UUUAAUUGUAGGUGUUUUAUAAUUUUUUUGUUUAAAGAUUCAAAUAUAAGUCGCCUAAAAACAGCUAAACUCAGUGACGGAACCGGAACCUACAACAGUACACCCAAACGCGGGUUUACAGCUCGGAAAAUAUCCGAGCACACCCGAACGCAUCAUAACACAAGAUCAGACGGGGAAAUGGCUGCAACCGUUUUCAACAGAAAACUUUUGCAAUAUGCAUUUUGUAGAGUUUCGUUGCAGCAUGUUCGACUUUGUCCGGCAUUUUGCAAGUUCAGUACCAGUUCAAAAAAGAAUAUAAAGUUUUACAAUGAUAUUGAUGAGGCUAUUAAAGACAUACCUAGUGGUGCUAAGGUGCUAAUUGGAGGUUUUGGUUUGUGUGGAAUGCCCGAGAACCUGCUUGCUGGUCUGCUGAGAUCCAAAGUGAAGGAUUUAACCCUAGUGAGCAGCAAUGCUGGAAUUGGUAACUCAGCCCUAGGUCUCUUGAUGGAACACAAACAGGUUAAACGAAUGAUUUCGUCCUAUAUUGGUGAAAAUGACGUAUGUGAGCGGCUGUAUCUGGCUGGUGAACUGGAGAUUGAAUUAACUCCACAGGGAACUUUGGCAGAGAAAAUCCGGGCUGGUGGAUAUGGUGUCCCAGCAUUCUUCACUCCGACUGGUUAUGGAACUCUGGUCCAAAGGGGUGGAGCACCAAUCAAGUACACUGCAGAUGGAAAAAUCGCUAUAGCGAGUAAGCCACGUGAGACUUAUAAAUUUGAUGGGCGUAACUUCAUAAUGGAGAAAGCCAUUACAGGAGAAUUUGCAUUGAUCAAAGCUUGGAAGGCUGACAAAGCAGGCAAUUUAACUUUCAGACGAACGGCAAGGAAUUUCAACCCACCCAUGUGUAAAGCUGCAAAAAUCACCAUUGCAGAAGUCGAUGAAAUCGUCGAGAUCGGGGAUAUACCUGGAGAGGAGGUCCAUGUGCCUCACCUGUUUGUACAGCGUGUUGUUAAGGCACCAAAUGUUAAAAAAAGAAUAGAGAAGUUAACAGUGAGUCACAGAACAGACAAGAAUGUGACAAUUGAUGGUUCUUCAUCAAAGCGGGAGAGAAUCAUCAAACGAGCUGCCCUUGAGUUGAAGGAUGGAAUGUAUGCAAAUCUUGGCAUUGGUAUACCCAUAAUGGCCAGUAACUAUAUCCCUAAAGGGAUCAGUGUUACCCUCCAUAGUGAAAAUGGCAUGUUGGGAUUGGGUCCAUUUCCAGAACCAGGAGAGGAAGAUGCAGAUCUGAUCAAUGCGGGUAAACAAACUGUGACAGCUAUUCCAGGAAGCUCUUACUUUUCUAGUGACGAUUCAUUUGGAAUGGUGAGAGGGGGCCACAUGAAUACCACAAUUCUAGGUGCUAUGCAGGUGUCUCAGUAUGGGGAUAUCGCUAACUACAUGAUUCCUGGUAAGAUGGUGAAAGGAAUGGGAGGUGCCAUGGAUCUUGUCUCGAGCGACAAAACUAAGGUGAUCGUCACCAUGGAACAUGAAACAAAAGCAGGCAAACCGAAAAUUUUGACCAACUGUACUUACCCCUUGACAGGAUCACGCUGUGUGAACAUGAUAAUUACAGAAAAGGGUGUCUUUGAGAUUAACCAUGGAACUGGUUUAACUUUAAUAGAAAUUGCAGAUGAUGUGACCGUGGAGGAAAUUCUAAAAACCACUGGCAGUCCAUUUGCAGUCUCACCAAGCUUGAUUCCAAUGCAACAAGUGCCUGUAUGAAGUCAAACAUUGUAAUCCCAUCUUUGGGAGGAAACCAUUAUUAUUGAGACUUGCUACUAACAAAUGUAUCGCUGUUGCAUAUCAAUGUACAUCAGUGUAUAUUUUUUUUUUGGUCCUAUUUUUAUUAAAUUGUACAUAUUCGGUUAAGUAUUAAGGUUUCAUAUUGCAAUUUGUUUUUGUUUUGGGGUGUGUUUUUGUUGUUGUUGUUGUUGUUAUGUUGUAUUAUAUGUACGUUAUUUUUCUACUUUGAUAUACAUAUAUGUUUUCAGUAUUCAUGAACUGGAACCUGUAUGCAUAUAUUACCAAUACAUGGUUCUAAAUGUCAACCUGGGUUUUGCUAUGUAACUUUUAUACUAUAUUUUGCAAUGUAAUUUUUACAUAUUUAUAUUUUUACAUCAUAUUUAAUAUUUCUACAUUUUAUUAUUAUUAUUUUUUUUUUUAUACAUGUAUUUACAUUAUAUUUCAU